GGGGGGGAUUUGAUCUUCCAAAAGAAAGAGAACUGGGUUUUGAAAACUUUCAAAAUGGCAGAAAUCCAACCCCCACCAAGCUUACUUACUUAGGCGAUCCCUCGUAGCUCGAGGACGAUUGUCUUCCAUCUUGGGGGUGGGUUCUUAUGUGGCUGAAGAGACCGAUUCUUGACCCGCAUAUUCUCCCGCAGUGAGGACAUUAGUUUCCAAGUGGAAACACAAGAAAAACACAAGCAGGAAAACACAACAAAAGCAUCCAGAGAAGGACACUCUAAAGCCCUUUGAAGCUGUAUAUUCUACUGCCAAACAGCUCUUACAAUCAGGAAGUUCUUUCUAAUGUUUAAGUGGAAUCUCUUUUCUUGUAAUGUGUAUAUAUUGCUCCAUGUCCUAGUCUCUAGAAUAGUAGAAAAAACAUUUUGACCCACCCUCUCAAUGUGACAUCCUUUCCAAUAUUUGAACAUGGCUGACAUGUCUCCUCUCAGCUUUUAUUUCUCCAGGAUACACACUUCAUAGGGUUAGACGUCCAAACCUUUGAUCGUUUUGGUCGUCCUUCUCUGGACAUGUUCCAGCUUGUCAAUAUCCUUCUUGAAUUGUUCUGACCAGGAUUGGAUACAGUAUUCCAGGAUGCUCCUGAGACGCAGCCAGGACAGAGUCCGACAGAGCCCAUCACAAGAUGUAGGGCUACUUCUGACAGGCUUCUUCCUGGCUCCAUCUGGGAACGACUUGAAAAACUGCAAGUCGCUUCUGGUGCGAGAGAAUUGGCCGUUUGCAAGGAUGCUGCUCAGGAGACGCGCGGAUGUUUGAUGUUUUACUAUCAUGCAGGAGGCUUCUCUCAUGUCCUUGCAUGGCAAGCUGGGGCUGGCAGAUGAGAGCUCGCCCCUCUCCCCGGAUUCAAGCUGCUGACCUUUUGGCCAGCAGUCCUGCCAGCACAAGGUUUUAAUCCAUAGUGCCACCGGGGGUUCCUAUGUUUACCCUAUGAAUUUGACCCUUCCUGUCCAGAAAGUCUCUCAAUGGGGAGGUGAAUGUCUUUGGGCUUAUCUGGUUAUAUUUUAGUAAAUAAGUUUAUACAUUAUAUAUAUAUGAAAUAGAUACAAUAUACAGAAAGAUACAAGUUAUAUAGACAGUCAUGAAGAAUAGAUACAAUUUAUUGAAGGGUUGGAUAUUACAGUAGAGUCUCACUUAUCCAAGCUAAACGGGCCGGCAGAAGCUUGGAUAAGUGAAUAUCUUGGAUAAUAAGGAGGGAUUAAGGAAAAGCCUAUUAAACAUCAAAUUAGGUUAUGAUUUUACAAAUUAAGGACCAAAACAUCCUGUUGUACAACAACUUUGACAGAAAAAGUAGUUCAAUGCGCAGUAAUGUUAUGUUGUAAUUACUGUAUUUACGAAUUUAGCACCAAAACAUCACGAUAUAUUGAAAACAUUGACUACAAAAAUGGCUUGGAUAAUCCAGAGGCUUGGAUAAGCGAGGCUUGGCUAAGUGGGACUCUACUGUAUAUACUUUAGGGGUUCAUGGGUUUAAUAACUUUUUAAUUGAUUCACAAUGUAUUGUACAAUUUUAUAUAUGUGUUUUAUUGUAAGCCGCCCUGAGUCCCUUAUUGGGUGAGAAGGGCGGGAUAUAAAUAUUGUAAUAAAUAAAUAAAUGGCUGCUGCUAGUUUAAUCUUGAUCUUCUGAUGUUUUGAACUUGUACAAAUCAGGAAAGGGUCUUCUUUUAAAAAGGGAAAAGUCAUAUAUUUAUUCCUAAGCCCUUGAUUGACUAUAAAUCUUUGGGCAAAGGUUUACCAUGGCUCGAUAACACCAAGGAUAUUUCUGUGGAUUUAUUGAAGACAAUUCAUCACCAUAUAAUGUAAUGGAUACAAUACAAAAUGGAUGAGAGAGCAGACUUAAAAAUAAGUCUGAGGCACUUCUUUGUGGAUUCAAAUACUUAGCCAAACCAAAGAAUAGGAACUCGGCCUUACGUCUCCCUGUAAAUCAGUGGUUCCCAACCUGUGGUCCAUGGACCACCAGUGGUCUGCAAGAACUAAAAUAUGGUCUGUGACCUCACCGUUACUACUACGGAUAAUAACACAGCCCAACCAAAAAUAUUUUUUUCUUGGUUUCUUUGUUUUUAGCCCUGUUCCUGGGUUAUUUGGGGUGCUGAUUCGGAAAAUUGUGUUGGAUAGAUUAUUACAUGAUUAUUACAUGAUUUUCUGUGAGCGAGCAGAUGGCAACUACUGAAUGGCAUAUGUUCUGUAUUAGAUACUAGAAGUGAUGUGGUCUAUUCAAUGCAAUUUUCGGCAUCAGCACCCCAAAUAACCAAACCAAAUCUAAAGUUGACCAAAAACGUUUUCGUAAUCCUCUUGGUAUUAAUGUUGGAGAGUGGUCCCUUGUCAAAAUGGUCCCUGGUAAAAAAGAGGUUGGGAACCUGCUGUAAAUGGAAACAGUUCUAGAAGCUCAGAAAAUGUAUAAUUGUUCAGAUUGCAACUUUUUAUUUAUACUGAUAAUUGCACUUUAACUUUUGAUGUAAGUUAUUCACAGCUGAAGAAAAUAGAAAGGAUUCCCUGAAGUCCCUAAAUUAAUUGAUUCUUCAACAAUGAGACAUUUGUAGUUUAUAUUAUACACUAUAAAGGGCCAAAUGCAUACACUAACACAAGCUAGUAUAGUAAAAUAUAAUGUUACCUUAACU
Long non-coding RNA from Anolis carolinensis (green anole), 2660 nucleotides. RefSeq lists it as uncharacterized. The record is from RefSeq and is a predicted model, not a curated record. Lineage: Eukaryota; Metazoa; Chordata; Lepidosauria; Squamata; Anolidae. The transcript has 3 exons.